Non-coding RNA from Erythranthe guttata (spotted monkey flower), 1338 nucleotides. NCBI's taxonomy places the organism in Eukaryota, Viridiplantae, Streptophyta, Magnoliopsida, Lamiales, Phrymaceae. The record is from RefSeq and is a predicted model, not a curated record.
AUUGAUGUAGGAAUUAUGCGAUGAAAUUAAGUGAGUAAAUUAAUUUAUGGAUUAAUGUAAUAUUGGAGGGAGAAGCUGAACAAGGGAAAGUGAACGAGUUUUCCUUAAUACGACGCCGUAGAACGCGAUCCGCCGCCAUGUAUUCACGUAGCCAGACCACUCCUACGCAGCGGCUCCAAAACCUCGAAAAGAGAACAACGAGGUUAGCAGAGCUAGCCUACGAGGUAAUGGAAGAAAUGGCAAACCCUAGUGGGCCCACACAUGAUCUUUUAAGCAGCCAUUUCAGUGACUUCAAGCAAUUAGCCCAGGACACGAAGAAAUUAAAAGCAUAUACGAGUAUCGUCCGUUUGAGAAGUGCCGCUAUCUUCCAAGAAUAUCAAACGAGAUUCCUUGGGAGAAACUAGAGUUCAUCGCCGCACGGCUUGGUGAAAUAAAGCAUCAAAUUGGGAAGAUGCUAUGUGAAAUAGAAAGCGUGCUACUGAAGAAAAUGUAUGAAAAUUUAUUUUUGAGUUCAUUUUGAAUUUCGUUUCGCUUAAUGGUCUUUCUAUCCCAAUUUCCCGUUGCUAUUCGAAUCCAUCUCCAUUUAUGAUGUCUGUUUUGAGUAUUCAAUGUUUAUGAUCGAUAAAAUGUUGACACAACAACUCAUAAUAAAUAUCUGAAAAAAAACCCAAUCAAUAUCCCGGAUCUGCUAGAUAUAAUUCUUAUUCGCUGCAGAAAAUGACGAUCUUUUACAUGAUCUAAUUUUGCUUAAGCAAAAUUUUCUCUGAUAUGCUUAUCUAACGCUAGUAACUCAUCUGAUUUCAUUUCUGCACCGGCCAUCUUUCGGCUGUUUCUGUGAAUGCUCGACGCUUCAGUUGGUGGACAUCUUUCAUUCUCUGGUACAUUUGUUGGAUCUCCUCUUUUCAGGGCAUCGUAGGUGAGGAAUCUUGAUUCUGCUGCUUCAAGAACAAUGGCGGAUAUUAACAGGACGCGAAGAAUGACGCCGAUGACUUUUUGGUUAGCCAUUGCCUUGAGAUAUUCCGAAUACUAUCUCGCAAAUGGGGUUCGAAUAUAUAAAGACUCGCAAGCUAAGGACUUGCCGAGAUUUUUUGUGUUUUUGAACUGGUGACAGCUCGAUGCUGAUGGUAGAAAAUUAAAUAGAAUCGACGAGCACGAUUCUUGAAAGUGUGGACAAAUGUCAUGUGGUUGUGUAUAUAUAUAUAUAUACAUGGGUUUGAUGUCCAUUUGAGGUGAGAAAUUAGUUGCUAAAAAGCCAGAGGCUAUAUGAAUUGCUAAUGCCAGAAUUUAAUGGCUUUGGUUUUCAUUCAAUUUUAGGCAAUCAGACAUGAUUGCACUUAA